AUUGAACGCUGGCGGCAGGCCUAACACAUGCCAGUCGAACGGUAACAGGAAGCAGCUUGCUGCUUCGCUGACGAGUGGCGGACGGGUGAGUAAUGUCUGGGAAGCUGCCUGAUGGAGGGGGAUAACUACUGGAAACGGUAGCUAAUACCGCAUAAUGUCGCAAGACCAAAGAGGGGGACCUUCGGGCCUCUUGCCAUCGGAUGUGCCCAGAUGGGAUUAGCUUGUUGGUGGGGUAACGGCUCACCAAGGCGACGAUCCCUAGCUGGUCUGAGAGGAUGACCAGCCACACUGGAACUGAGACACGGUCCAGACUCCUACGGGAGGCAGCAGUGGGGAAUAUUGCACAAUGGGCGCAAGCCUGAUGCAGCCAUGCCGCGUGUAUGAAGAAGGCCUUCGGGUUGUAAAGUACUUUCGGCGGGGAGGAAGGGAGUAAAGUUAAUACCUUUGCUCAUUGACGUUACCCGCAGAAGAAGCACCGGCUAACUCCGUG
This 490-nucleotide ribosomal RNA is filed under the name uncultured bacterium. RNAcentral's name for it is "partial 16S ribosomal RNA". It matches the Rfam family "Bacterial small subunit ribosomal RNA", at positions 30 to 507 of the family's 1533-position model. The record is from RNAcentral.